GAACGAUGAUUGAUUAUUUUCUGGUUGUUCAUGAUUCUUAACAAUAUGAAGAGAUGAGUGUCAGUUUUGACUUUGGAUGUAUGCAACUCAUUGCUCACGAUCCCUCUACAUGUGGCCUUAGAAAUAAUCAAAUUCACCGAAUUUCAACAAGAAGGUAUAGUUCUACUCAUCCAUCUUACCUCUUCUCUAGUCACAGUGUCAGUUUGUUCUAAAAUUUUUCAGUGCUUAUGAAAGUUCUAUGUACGAAGGCUUCUUUUUGGUUCUACGAACCAUUCAUCGGGACCAUGCAUAUCUUAGUAGUUUUAUUCAGUUUAGACUGAUAUGAAUCAAUUUCUUUUAUAAUUGACAAAUACUGCAACCAUUCAACCAACCCAGCAUACACCAGCUUUGUAAAUGGCUUUGUUAUGUGAUUUGGUUUUCCAUUAUUAACUCUUAGAUUUACUAAGAAAUACCCAGUUAUAUGUUUAAGGACAGUAACGUUUCUAGGAUCACUAGAAAUUGAUAUAUUAUCUUCUUUUACGGUACUUAACGAUACAAUUAUCUUAUAUGUUUCAGGGAAUAAAAUCUUUUUAUGGCACAACAAUGUUAUGCUUUUCAUUUCCAGCAGCUAAAUAAAAAUGCAUUUGUAAUAUUUUUAUGCAGAUGAUAAAAUAGGUUUUGAUAGCAAAAAUAUGCUUUGCAGUUCUACAUUACCCAUAUGCCACUGGGUAAUGCCAUACGAUGUGUUCUUCGUGCUUGCAUUCUGUUGCAUCUGCCACUGGGCCAAGCCGACCAUUUAGCUCUAUUGAAAUAUUCACUCAACAUUCUCUUUCCUACUUAACAUCAAUGAUGAGAUGAACUUUUGCUCCAAUCAUUUCUUGUAUAUAUUAACUUCUUCUCCAUUGAUGCAGCACACGAAUGAGGUUACGUGUAGUAUAGCAUGGAAGCAUGCUCCUUGCUCUGCUAUGGUCAAGUUUGUACAUUUUGCUUUGUUGUUGUUAGGUUAGUACAUUUCGGUUAUUCUUGAUGUUUCUGUAAUAUAUAAUAAGCACGAGGUUAGUUUUUUUUUCUUCUCUGGAUGUCUUACCUCCAUGAUUAACAACCACACCAUAUUCCUGCAUACAUUUGAUCAAGCUUCCUUUUGUUCCAUCCUUCAACUGUAUAAAUUGAACUUACAUAUUCGUGCACAGUUUUGUUAAUUCAGAUUUUAGAAUGCACAAACAAACUUUUAUUUAUUUUCCUAUUCUGUGUGUACCAUUUAGCAAGAACUAAUUGAUGUUCUUCUUCUCACAGCUAACUCAUUUGUUUGGGAUGUUGUUUAGGGAAAUGUUAUAGGCUGAAAGAUAAAUCUUAUACAAAACUGUAUUGGAGUUGUGUUGUGUGCUAAUUACUGAAUGAAUUUAUCAUCUUGGUUUUCAGAAAGAGGUACAUAAUACCUGCAUCAGGAGCAGGAUUUCUCUUGAAUGAAACCUGUUAUUUUCUUUGCAAAGGUACUGUUGCCAAAAAUUCAGAAGCACAAUUACAUUCUAUAUUUGUUUGGGAUGUUGUCUAGGGAAAGUUGCAGGCUGAAAGAUAAAUCUUAUACAAAACUGUAUUGGAGUUGUGUUGUGUGCUAAUUACUGAAUGAAUUUAUCAUCUUGGUUUUCAGAAAGAGGUACAUAAUACCUGCAUCAGGAGCAGGAUUUCUCUUGAAUGAAACCUGUUAUUUUCUUUGCAAAGGUACUGUUGCCAAAAAUUCAGAAGCACAA
This 1727-nucleotide long non-coding RNA is filed under the name Oryza brachyantha (malo sina). RNAcentral describes it as "long non-coding RNA (OBRA_LNC000444)". Lineage: Eukaryota; Viridiplantae; Streptophyta; Magnoliopsida; Poales; Poaceae. The record is from RNAcentral.